Molecule: long non-coding RNA, 374 nt
Filed under: Medicago truncatula (barrel medic)
Lineage: Eukaryota; Viridiplantae; Streptophyta; Magnoliopsida; Fabales; Fabaceae
Description: long non-coding RNA (MTRU_LNC005429)
Source: RNAcentral
GGAUUUUUCGCUAGACAUCUUUUAGUUUUUUCAACAUUUCUGACAUUUGCCUUAUUGAGUAACUGAGUAUUAUGAGCCUCUCCAACUAUCCAAUUUUGAAUAAAGAUUGUUGUCAUUAAUAGGUCAAGACACAAAGAUUGAGUUUGUUUUUUUUUUUUUGGUCAAAGAUUGAGUUUGUAUUUAUCUUAUCACAAAGUUGUCUUGGAAAUUUAGCUCUCAUCAGAGAGCAUAUUAUGGUGAUAACUCCUUAUAUCAUUAUAGCCCUUAAUUCUCUCACCUCAACCGUGUUAGGAUCUUCUAAAUUUUCUCUUGAUUUCUCCUCUCCCCUACUAUAGUUUUAAAUAGUACUCCCUCCUGUCCUUAUUAUAAGAAAC